This is a non-coding RNA of Arachis ipaensis, 674 nucleotides long. The record is from RefSeq and is a predicted model, not a curated record. Lineage: Eukaryota; Viridiplantae; Streptophyta; Magnoliopsida; Fabales; Fabaceae.
AACAUGAUAAAUUGAUCCCUUCUUGGAAGUUAGGUUCAUUAUUAUCCAAUAGAUCAGUACAGGAUCUGAAGUCAUUCUCUUCAUUUAACAUGGCUAUUCUCUCAAGGUAUUUCCAUUUUCAUUGUUUCCCAUUGUAGUUAGAAAUUGUUGUGCUAUGGGUAAUUUGAGAGACUAAUACGUUGCUGGUUUCUCCUUGAAGUUCUCAUCAUAAAUCCUUGAAAGCUCAGCAAGCAAUUAAUGCGCUUUUGGAGACAAUGGUGAAGAAUUGUGGUGAUCAGGUCCACUUUCAAAUUGCUGAGAGGAACAUAUUGGAUGAGAUGAUCAAAAUUGUAAAGAAGAAGGUAAGGUGGUGUCAGAUAGAAACUUGAGAAUCAUUCUUAUUUAAGUUGCAUAUGUGAUUUCACUUGUGCAUUAUUGACCCUUGGUGAGUGUGUAUUUAUUGCUAUGAACUAGUGGUCUAUUAGUAAAAUUGAUCCAUCAAUAUGAUGUAGUUUGAUUCAGUUGCCAAAUAAUUUGACAUCAACUUAAUUCACUUCUCUUUCUUGUCUUAUUGGCUCAAAUAUUAAUAUUUCUGGUCGUAUUUCAUAGCAAAGUAAAAAGCUCCUAUUGUUCAGGUUUUGCUCUUUGGAUUAAUUGAUCGACCAAAACAUAGAUGAUGUACACCUAUCCAAACA